GUCGGAGAUCAUUGUUCCCGGGCACAGGUCCCAAAUUCCAGCCCACGACCGAAGGCCAAACGUGCCCGUUAAUGAUUAAACCUCUGGAGUCAGUGCUCAGGGACACAGGCAGGGAGCAGCCCGGAGAGCUGCCGGUCAAGGUGCCCGGCCGGGUGGGGGUGGGGCAGCAGCCAGGCCCCGCCCAACAGGAACCAGUUCCUGCCCAAAGCAGGAGGGGAAAGGCUUUUCCACCAAGGGAAAGCUAAAUAUUGUCUAAAUCCGGCACCCAGGACGACACACAGGCUUCCCAUUGUCUGCCACACAGCAGGUCUCGGCCACGGCCCAGGUUGCACCCGUGUGAGGUCAGGGAGGGUGGAGCAUCCCGGGGAGGGGGCCUGCCCCCACCGUCUUCCUCUGCACCGAGGCACAUUCUUGGGAAAGGUCUUAUGUUGCCAAAAGGGCUUAACCACAUGACACAAGUGAGCGUAGGUGGGCACCAGUGAGGAAAAGCCAUCCUUGGCAGCAGAAGCCGGUGCAGGGGCGACGCUUCAGACCACAGGAAGCGAGCUCUCCACGGUGGCCGAGGGCUUUUCCACUCGGCGAGCCUGGGCACCAGUCCCAGCUCUGCUACCUUUUCGCUGUCGUAGGUUAUCUCAGUUUCCUCCUCUGUAAAAUGGGAACGUGGUACCUGACCUCAAGGUCACCAAGAGGUCUACCGAGUGGCCCCUGUGAAACACGUAGUGCCGGAGCCCUGGUACCUGCAAGCUCUCAAUACCCGGCGAUCACGUUCAUUACGAUUAGGAUCACCAGAUUCUGUUCCUUUGCGAGAUCCUUUCCAACUGCACUUUCAUGUCAGUGUUCGUUUGCAGGUUGAUGUUGGACCGUAUUUACAUUCAGUGUUUGGGGCUGACCGGGAAGAAAUCUGAAAGUGGAAGAGAAGGGAAGGCACCGGUAACCUCGUCUUCCCAAGAGGAGGUCAGAGGGCAGUUCAGACAUUGAAGGAAGAGACAAAGAGCCUUGAAUGUCACGAAAAGGAGGUUGGACUUUAUCCUGCAGGCAAUCAGAAGCCAGAAAGGUUUCAGGAUGGAUGGGCUGAUCAGAUUUGAGUUUCAACAGGCCACUGUGCUGCUACAGACACCCAGACACCGGAGCUCCAGCCGGGGCAGGCUGCAGGAUGCCCAGCCGUGUCCCCAGGAUGCCCUGCACGCUGUCCUGAAAACUAACCUGUAACUGCAGCUCUUGGAGCCUUCCGGAACCCAGAUCCCCACCUGAGAUCAAACCAAAGACCUGGUUUAAGGUCCCUGGUUUGGC
RNAcentral lists this long non-coding RNA (1290 nucleotides) under Homo sapiens (human). Its description in RNAcentral is "non-protein coding lnc-PPP1R13B-1:3". Lineage: Eukaryota; Metazoa; Chordata; Mammalia; Primates; Hominidae. The record is from RNAcentral.